GGGGGGACGGAGAAGGUUAGGUCAGCCAACUGUUGGAAUAGUUGGUUUAAGCGUGUAGGCGUGCCCCUUAGGCAAAUCCGGGGGGCUUAGCUGAGGCGUGACGACGAGGUCUCUUUGAGACCGAAGUGAUUGAUACCCUGCUUCCAGGAAAAGCCACUAAGCUUCAGUCUAGAAUUGACCGUACCGCAAACCGACACAGGUGGGCAGGUAGAAGACACUAAGGCGCUUGAGAGAACUCAGGAGAAGGAACUCGGCAAAUUGAUACCGUAACUUCGGGAGAAGGUAUGCCCUGGUAGCUUGUAGGAGAACAUCCGAAGGGCGACGGGGCCGCAGAGAAUCGGUGGCUGCGACUGUUUAUUAAAAACACAGCACUCUGCAAACACGAAAGUGGACGUAUAGGGUGUGACGCCUGCCCGGUGCCGGAAGGUUAAGUGAUGGGGUGCAAGCUCUUGAUCGAAGCCCCGGUAAACGGCGGCCGUAACAAUAACGGUCCUAAGGUAGCGAAAUUCCUUGUCGGGUAAGUUCCGACCUGCACGAAUGGCGUAACGAUGGCCACACUGUCUCCUCCUGAGACUCAGCGAAGUUGAAGUGUUUGUGAAGAUGCAAUCUCCCCGCGGCUAGACGGAAAGACCCCAUGAACCUUUACUGUAGCUUUGCAUUGGACUUUGACGGGACUUGUGUAGGAUAGGUGGGAGGCGCUGAGACCAGGACGCUAGUUCUGGUGGAGCCGUCCUUGAAAUACCACCCUGGUGUCGUUGAGGUUCUAACCUAGGUCCAUCAUCUGGAUCGGGGACCGUGCAUGGUAGGCAGUUUGACUGGGGCGGUCUCCUCCCAAAAGGUAACGGAGGAGUACGAAGGUCUUCUAGGUACGGUCGGACAUCGUACUGAUAGUGCAAUGGCAAGAGAAGGCUUGACUGCGAGACCGACAAGUCGAGCAGGUGCGAAAGCAGGUCAUAGUGAUCCGGUGGUUCUGUAUGGAAGGGCCAUCGCUCAACGGAUAAAAGGUACUCUGGGGAUAACAGGCUGAUUCCGCCCAAGAGUUCACAUCGACGGCGGAGUUUGGCACCUCGAUGUCGGCUCAUCACAUCCUGGGGCUGUAGCCGGUCCCAAGGGUAUGGCUGUUCGCCAUUUAAAGUGGUACGUGAGCUGGGUUUAAAACGUCGUGAGACAGUUUGGUCCCUAUCUGCCGUGGGCGCUGGAUAUUUGAGGGGGCCUGCUCCUAGUACGAGAGGACCGGAGUGGACGGAUCUCUGGUGUACCGGUUGUGACGCCAGUCGCAUCGCCGGGUAGCUAAAUCCGGAAGAGAUAACCGCUGAAAGCAUCUAAGCGGGAAACUCGCCUCGAGAUGAGAUAUCCCUGGGAACUUGAUUCCCCUGAAGGGUCGUCGAAGACCACGACGUUGAUAGGUCGGGUGUGGAAGC
RNAcentral lists this ribosomal RNA (1421 nucleotides) under metagenome. RNAcentral describes it as "bacterial LSU rRNA". It matches the Rfam family "Bacterial large subunit ribosomal RNA", at positions 1466 to 2874 of the family's 2925-position model. The record is from RNAcentral.